This 627-nucleotide long non-coding RNA is filed under the name Nicotiana benthamiana. Its description in RNAcentral is "long non-coding RNA (NBEN_LNC024680)". The record is from RNAcentral. Lineage: Eukaryota; Viridiplantae; Streptophyta; Magnoliopsida; Solanales; Solanaceae.
UUUUUUAGUCUGUGUACCCAUUGUUUCUUCAUCUAUUCGAAGCGUCAUAUGACGUGAUGAUUUGAAUUCAUCUGUGGCCAUUGACAGACUCAAGCAUCUACGUUGAUAUGUGAUGCCAAGCAACUGAAAAAGUUGGCUGCUGUUAGUUCUAGCCUGGAAACCAUCAAGAAUGUCAUCUACUUUGAGGACGGUACAGUGACGGAUUCCACAAAUAUUGGCAGCGGGAGGGUGUCAUCUUUCUCAGAAAUUGAAAAUCUGGGUAAAAAUGGUUCUAUUCAGCCAAGACUGCCUGUCAAGAAAGAUACUGCUGUGAUCAUGUAUACCAGUGGCAGUACAGGCUUACCUAAGGUUUGACCCCACUUUCUAUUAAUUCUUUUUUUUCCGAUGUGCAUGCAGGGAAAAAAUAUAAUCGUUGGGUAUGCUUCUAGAUGGUUCUCGUGGGAUGUUUCUUAUAGCUUCCCUAGUGGCUGAAGCAUUCUUGUUACCUGGAAACCAUCAAGAAUGUCAUCUAUUUUGAGGACGAGACAGUGACAGAUUCCACAAAUAUUGGCAGCUGGAGGGUGUCAUCUUUCUCAGAAAUUGAAAAUCUGGGUAAAAAUGGUUCUAUUCAGCCAAGACCGCCUGUCA